Molecule: ribosomal RNA, 253 nt
Filed under: uncultured bacterium
Lineage: Bacteria
Description: partial 16S ribosomal RNA
Rfam family: Bacterial small subunit ribosomal RNA
Source: RNAcentral
UACGUAGGGUGCAAGCGUUGUCCGGAAUUAUUGGGCGUAAAGAGCUCGUAGGCGGUUUGUUGCGUCGGCUGUGAAAUCCCGAGGCUCAACCUCGGGUCUGCAGUCGAUACGAGCAAACUAGAGUGUUGCAGGGGAGACUGGAAUUCCUGGUGUAGCGGUGAAAUGCGUAGAUAUCGGGAGGAACACCAGUGGCGAAGGCGACUACCUGGCCUGUUCUUGACGCUGAGGCGCGAAAGCUAGGGGAGCAAACAGG